This 2807-nucleotide long non-coding RNA is filed under the name Citrus x clementina. Its description in RNAcentral is "Citrus clementina (C. clementina) long non-coding RNA (CCLE_LNC002845)". Lineage: Eukaryota; Viridiplantae; Streptophyta; Magnoliopsida; Sapindales; Rutaceae. The record is from RNAcentral.
GUAAAAGUUUAAAUUAAUCUCACAUUAACUUUCAUUUAAAUAAAAAUGGGUAAUUUAGAAAUUUUGCCUACGGCCUAAAAUUUUGUUGAGCUGGCCCUUGAUGCAGGACAUCCGAGGCAAUUUUACUGCUUAGUCCCAGAUAAAUUUCAACUGCUUCAUUUUUUUUUCGUGUUCAUUAAUUUAUAAAAAUAUAUUGUUAGUGUGAAUUUGUCAUUUUCACAGACAGAUUAACGACGUGAGACUUCUACAAAUUUUAUUUUGUCUUUGGAUAGUACUCAAUCAUUCAAUCACGACGUGACAAACAUAUUUCAUGUGGAGAAUGUGGCCCGAAUUGCCGAAAUGUGGUUUAUAUUAAAUUUAAUUGCGAUGUAAUAAAAAUAUCAAAAUAUGACUAGGAUUGAAUUAAUAUGAACUUGGUUUAUUAAACAAUAAAAUACGUUGUUUUAUUGGCUAAUCAAAAUUCUAAAACUAACAGACAAUUAACUAACAAACUCUUUCUCAUAUUUCUUGUUCACACAAACAAACUUUAUUGUUAUUUUUUAACUAUCAUUCUAGGAGCUAAAAUUGAAUUGAGAAUAAGAAAAAGGAACGAUCAUUUAUGUAUGUAAAAUAAAUUGUAAACUAGCAGCAUAAGUUAAAUUGCAGAUACGCUAUAACAAGAAUGGAUUCAUUUCUAGUCUAACAUAAAGAACUUUUAAAAGAAAUUAAGUUAUUUCCGAUUACGGGCUGCUGCAUAUGUAACAUGUAAUUCAAUUGAUGGGAUUAGAAAAAUGGCUUGAAUUGCCAUUUUUUGGCUCUAUGAGAAACUUGAAUCGCAUCAGAACACCAAAGUUCAUCAACCUACGAGAAUUAAAUUAUCCGAAUUUUUUAAUGUGUCGAGGCUUUUCGGUCCUAAUAUUUCGUUUUUGCUCAAAUUUGCUUGUCAAAGUCUUAAGUCUGUGAGAGAGAAGAAAAAAAGUUCCCGCGGGGGGGGGGGGGGGGUGAAGAAGAAGAACAGAAGAAGCACCGGCAAGAUGAUAUGAAAUUCAGCUAAUCAUGCUAUUUAACGGCGGUCAAUUUUGGAGUUACAGCCAAAAAAAUUAUGGGAUUGGGUCUGUAAUAAGGAAAGCUCAAAAUAAAUUAAAUCCGAACUAUAAAACAAUUUAAAUAAAACGUGCCAUAAUAUCUUACAAAAAUUUAGAAAAAAAAAUUGAUUUAAGAGAGAAUUCAUAUAUGAUUCAAACACCCUUCUGAUUUCAGUCAAUGAAUAUUAUUAAUUAAAUGUAAUUUAAUCGCAUAAAAGCACCACAAACUAAGUCCUCAAUUUUCUUGAAUGACGAUAUUAUACACAAUACUACUAGACUUAAAAGAUGAAGCCAUACAAGUAGCAUGGGAGAAGACUCUAGGAGUAGAGAUGACAAUAUUUCCCGGCUCCAAGUCCAAUGGGAAGUGAUCAUAUGCCAGAGAGCCAACAAAACAAUGAAGCUUUUUUUUUUUUUCUUUCUUUCUUUAAAAAAGAAAACAAUUUCUUGAUUUUGAUGAUGUUUUUUUGCCUUAUGAAGCUGCAAGUAACAUUACAGGAUAUCGUAGAGAUGGAAGAAAUGAUAGUUCUGGGUCACAGAAUGGCACAUUUUAAUAUCCUUUAUGGAGGAUCCGGAGGGUAGUAUGGAUAAAUGAUUAAAAUGUAAAUUUUCAUAUGAUUGAAAGGGAUAGUGUCUUUUUAUACAAUAAAUGUGUGAGUUUAUUUCAUAAAAAGCAACACAUUAUAUAGGCAAAUAUAAUUAAUAUGUUGACACACACAAUAACUUUUAUUUAUUUAUUUUCCUUUUCAGGAAAAUACUUAACUCAAAAGCAAACAAAGAAGAUCUCUUGUACAUCUCAAGAAAUCUUUUAAGUUACAUUAAACUGGACUGAGACAUUGACAUAACUGAUAGGUAAUAGUACACCUAUCAUUUAUUUAAUUAAAUAAAACAUAAAAGACCAGUAUUGCACUUAACCCAUAUGAUCGGGAUUUCUUCCAUAUUGAGGAACAAUAAGAAGAUCAAGAUUGUCGUUCAUGAUAUCAUCAUUAGCAAUACCUUCGUACCGGAAGUUAAAACCCUCUGACCACUUUUUUCCUGAAAAAUUCAUAUAAAAAAUUUAAUUUAUAAACGCAUCUACGAAAAUAAGAAUUAUAAACAAUAUCUAUUAAAAUGAAGUUGGCCUAUAAACCUGCGCAAGUAGUUUCCAUGUUCUUCAAAUCAGUAAGAUCUCUGCUUACGGGAAUCAAAAUUCGAAAGUAAUUAAGUUGCUUUUUUGAGUUCUUGCUUCCGGUUUGAUAAUUUGAUGUAAUAUAUAUAGAUGGUUCAAGUAUGCUUGGUGAUCCCCAAGCGAAAUAAAAAAAAAUAGAGGGUAUGCUGCUGGAUAAGAUUGUUGGACAAGUAGAUAACGAAUAACUGGCUAUAGUUCAAUUACACGAAUUACGUGGGUCUUAUCCGAUGGCAAUAAUUGAUUAUUGGGAAAAACUACCGCAAUAUAAGAUGGUUCAAGUAUGUCUGGUGAUCCCCAAACAAAAAAAACAGGUAUGCUGCCGGAUAAGAUUGUUGGACAAGUAGAUAACGAAUAACUGGCUAUAGUUCAAUUACACGAAUUACGUGGGUCGUAUCCGAUGGCAAUAAUUGAUUACUGGGGAAAACUACAGCAAUUAGCACGUGCAGUCUUUUCUUUCACAUCUCAUUGCUACAAUAAUUUUGUAAAUUACAAAAAUUUCUUUUGGUAUGUUUCGUCUUGGACAUAGCCAAUGAAAGAUAGUCUUGGAAAUGAAAUUUUCUAAAUUCCCAAUUUCAUUU